RNAcentral lists this long non-coding RNA (211 nucleotides) under Elaeis guineensis (African oil palm). Its description in RNAcentral is "long non-coding RNA (EGUI_LNC069907)". The record is from RNAcentral. Lineage: Eukaryota; Viridiplantae; Streptophyta; Magnoliopsida; Arecales; Arecaceae.
GCUGGGGUCUCUCAUCUUGGAUCUGGAUAUCAUUCUCCUCGCGAUCCUCUACCAUUCCAUCUAUUGCCAAUUGCUCCUCCAAAAACCACCAAAGCUAAGCUACCACUGUUUGAGCUCGAAGCUGAGUUCUCCCUUUUGAGAACCUCACUCUGGAGAAUCAUCAUAGUGACCUUACUUAUCUUGAUAGUCCUCUUCUUUACUAGAAGAGCAG